This 198-nucleotide ribosomal RNA is filed under the name uncultured bacterium. Its description in RNAcentral is "partial 16S ribosomal RNA". It matches the Rfam family "Bacterial small subunit ribosomal RNA", at positions 326 to 539 of the family's 1533-position model. The record is from RNAcentral.
ACGCUCGACACCUACGGGAUGCAGCAGUGGGGAAUAUUGCACAAUGGGGGAAACCCUGAUGCAGCGACGCCGCGUGGAGGAAGAAGGUCUUCGGAUUGUAAACUCCUGUUGUUGGGGAAAAAGAGGAUGGUACCCAACAAGGAAGUGACGGCUAACUACGUGCCAGCAGCCGUGGUAAUCUGAGCGGGCUGGCAAGGC